AGUUCUUUGUAACGUCUCAGGUAAGUGGGACUAAUGUUUCACCCAGCACAUUGCAGGCAACAUCUGGAUGAAUGGUUUCCUUGUUCCUACAGAAUGGGGCUCAGUCUGCAUUCUCUGUGUUCAGGCCCUCUGAUUCUCUCUCCACCACUCUCUUGCUGGAUCUUUGGGACAGAUAUUAUUGCAACCUAAGUUGGAAGGUAGCAAAGAAGAUUUUCCGGUUCCUUCCAUCUCUAUUUGCCCACCCCCCAAGCUUCCCGUUCCAUGAGAAAGAAGGGGCACUUUGACGAUGGAGCUCUGAUGAAAAGCCCCAAUCCUACUGAAUCCAAAUCCUCACUCUGGUCGACAUGGAUGGGCCUUUUGGGUCUCACCACUUGGAAGCUUACUUACAGUGUGGACUUUCUCGGGCCCCUGUCCUCAGAAGAAUUCUGGCGAUGGGCACGUUGUUGGUCAUGAUGGCGAUAUCCAGAGGCGUCAGCCCCUCAC
Molecule: long non-coding RNA, 483 nt
Organism: Lutra lutra (Eurasian river otter)
Lineage: Eukaryota; Metazoa; Chordata; Mammalia; Carnivora; Mustelidae
Exons: 3
Source: RefSeq, a predicted model, not a curated record